RNAcentral lists this unclassified non-coding RNA (334 nucleotides) under uncultured fungus. Its description in RNAcentral is "partial contains 5.8S ribosomal RNA and internal transcribed spacer 2". The stretch from base 1 to 134 matches the Rfam family "5.8S ribosomal RNA", at positions 22 to 154 of the family's 154-position model. Lineage: Eukaryota; Fungi. The record is from RNAcentral.
UGGUUCUGGCAUCGAUGAAGAACGCAGCGAAAUGCGAUAAGUAAUGCGAAUUGCAGAAUUUCCGUGAGUCAUCGAAUCUUUGAACGCACAUUGCGCCCAUUGGUAUUCCGAUGGGCAUGCCUGUUCGAGCGUCAUUAUCAACCCUCAAGCCUGGCUUGGUGUUGGACGCGGUCACGAGAGUGAUCCGUCCCAAAGACAAUGACGGCGUCUGUUGGACCCUCAGUGCAAUGAGCUUUUCACCGAGCACGCACCGAGUUCUAAAGGACCAAUAGCCCGGUCUACCUUUUUUAAAACUUCUAAGGUUGACCUCGGAUCAGGUAGGGAUACCCGCUGA